UACGUAGGGUGCAAGCGUUGUCCGGAAUUAUUGGGCGUAAAGAGCUCGUAGGCGGUCUGUCGCGUCUGCUGUGAAAACCUAAGGCUCAACCUUGGGCUUGCAGUGGGUACGGGCAGACUAGAGUGCGGUAGGGGUGACUGGAAUUCCUGGUGUAGCGGUGGAAUGCGCAGAUAUCAGGGAGGGAACACCCGGUGGGCGAAGGCGGGUCUCUGG
Molecule: ribosomal RNA, 213 nt
Filed under: uncultured bacterium
Lineage: Bacteria
Description: partial 16S ribosomal RNA
Rfam family: Bacterial small subunit ribosomal RNA
Source: RNAcentral